This is a long non-coding RNA of Humulus lupulus (European hop), 600 nucleotides long. RefSeq lists it as uncharacterized. The transcript is spliced from 2 exons. NCBI's taxonomy places the organism in Eukaryota, Viridiplantae, Streptophyta, Magnoliopsida, Rosales, Cannabaceae. The record is from RefSeq and is a predicted model, not a curated record.
GGCAUUUAUGUUUUUAUUUCCCCUUAAUAGAUAGAUAUCCAUUUUAUGUUUAGUUCUGUUCUAUAUUGAUGGCAGCAUAAGCCAGCCUAUUGGUUAGAUUUUGGGUUGUUAAUGUGGGGUUAAAUUACAUCUUAUAUAGAGUUAUUAUUUACUCAGUCUCGGAUUCCAGUGUAUUUUCAACUGAUCCAUGAGAUAUAUUUUAUAUUGCAGCAUUGUAUAGACUUUGACUCCUGUUUCUUUGGAAAAUAAGUUACAGAGAAGUCCAAGUAGACGAACAAAAAGUAGGUGGGAGCCUCUACCAAAGGAGAAACUUGUUGAAAAAUCAGCAUCCGUCAAUCAUAGUACUUUAAAAUAUUCUGGAUGGGCACAUGCCAAUGAAAGGGACAAAAAGGUAUUGUUAUUGUAAUUAUGUGACAAGCGAAAUAGAAAAUGAUACUUAAUUUUGAAGGCUUUGUGUUGGGUAGCUGUAGAAUAUUUUGUGCUGAAAGUAGUAACUUUUCAAUAUGUUGAAUAUUUAAGACUACUUGAAUACUUAAAGAACAUUUUGUUGUUGAUGACAGUGUUGAAUGUUUUAAACUAAUUUGUGGAUUGUUAAUACAA